Molecule: ribosomal RNA, 496 nt
Filed under: Clonostachys rosea
Lineage: Eukaryota; Fungi; Ascomycota; Sordariomycetes; Hypocreales; Bionectriaceae
Description: eukaryotic LSU rRNA
Rfam family: 5.8S ribosomal RNA (bases 136-289)
Source: RNAcentral
CCCUGUUACAUACCUACUGUUGCUUCGGCGGGAUUGCCCCGGGCGCCUCGUGUGCCCCGGAUCAGGCGCCCGCCUAGGAAACUUAAUUCUUGUUUUAUUUUGGAAUCUUCUGAGUAGUUUUUACAAAUAAAUAAAAACUUUCAACAACGGAUCUCUUGGUUCUGGCAUCGAUGAACAACGCAGCGAAAUGCGAUAAGUAAUGUGAAUUGCAGAAUUCAGUGAAUCAUCGAAUCUUUGAACGCACAUUGCGCCCGCCAGUAUUCUGGCGGGCAUGCCUGUCUGAGCGUCAUUUCAACCCUCAUGCCCCUAGGGCGUGGUGUUGGGGAUCGGCCAAAGCCCGCGAGGGACGGCCGGCCCCUAAAUCUAGUGGCGGACCCGUCGUGGCCUCCUCUGCGAAGUAGUGAUAUUCCGCAUCGGAGAGCGACGAGCCCCUGCCGUUAAACCCCCAACUUUCCAAGGUUGACCUCUGAUCAGGUAGGAAUACCCGCUGAACUUA